GAUUAACUCUACGUUGUCUUUGCCUGUUGAAAUAUUUUGUCAAGUCCCAUUUCAAGGAGUCUUUUUAAAUCUUCUUAACGUUAUGACUUUGAAGGCAUACUUUCCUGUUGCAUAAGCUGAAAAUGCUUCUGAUAAUUGCAAAGAAAGGUUUAAGAACCUCACUCUCAGAUAUAUCUUCAGAUGAGUAUCAGUUGGAAACUUAACUUGCAGUUUUCCAUGAGUUACAUGUCACCGGCUGUUAGUGAUUUGGAAGGAUUUAGGAUCCAGUUAAAGCAAACAGCUUUGAUACUGCUUUGAAGAAUUUCUCAAUGACUGUUUGCAACUUGCCGUGCUUCUGACAUUAUUCCUGGAUAGGAAAUGAAAUGCUGGAGAUGACUUUUUUUUUUUUGUAAUUUUUAAGAAAGCUGUUGUAUAAACAUUUUUAAGUACUCAAGAAGUCUGUAAAUAGAUAUUUUUUUGGUGAAUAUUGCAGAAAUAGUGAAUCUUAUGUUUUAGAUGAAAAUGAUUUUUCAGGACUUCCUGCCAGGUUGGACCAGAGAAGCCUCAUUUCUACACCAAAUUCAGUUCAGAUUCCAUGUCGUUAAUAAGUAACACAAGAUGAGGCGGUACAGCGCCACAAAACUAACUGGAGCACAGCUUAGCGCCGACUGCCUGCCCCGUUCGAAGCCGCGUGUUUGCCUCAGUACGUUACAGAUGCGCUUCAGCACUACAAAGCCUGCUGCGAGGGUCAGUGACAGAUGUCUUCACCGAGGCAAGGAAACGGGGCUGCUAGUCAAAAGACAGCGAAAGUGAAGUGGCACAGGUUGGAAGGAAAAAAAAAAAAUGGUAAGGUUGUGUUGUAGGACUGUCAAAAAACUCAUUUCCCUACUGGGAGGGAUGCAUGAGUGGAUUUCACAGCAAGUACCCACAACUUCAUUGCUACUUAACCUAUUAGCGAGGUCAUUUUCUGUUCCUACAAUAGAUAAAAAGACAUUGAUUUAUAUCAACAGCUGAAUCGGAAUCUGAAGUACGCUCUAAAGUUUGCAGAUAGCAACAGUGAGCUGAAAAACUACUUCAAGCAUUUUGUGAUGACUGGUUUAAGAACUAGACCAAUACAGGCACAUUUUUUAUAUGGAAACCAUUUUCUCCACUGUUACUUACCUGAAAUCUGGUCGCUGCAAGGAGUUUGCUUCUGCAAUACAUUCGCACAUUUUGUACUGUUGGAAUUGUAGAUGCUUGAUAAAGUCUUUACCUUUAUUAUCACAUUCCUCUUACAUUUAUUAUGAAUUUAUUAUGAAUAAAGGUAACCAUUAUCACGUCA
Long non-coding RNA from Aquila chrysaetos chrysaetos, 1300 nucleotides. RefSeq lists it as uncharacterized. NCBI's taxonomy places the organism in Eukaryota, Metazoa, Chordata, Aves, Accipitriformes, Accipitridae. The record is from RefSeq and is a predicted model, not a curated record. The transcript is spliced from 2 exons.